AAAAAAGCCUCUAGUGAGUGUCGUGGCGGCCCGUACCCCAAACCGACUCAGGUGGUCAGGUAGAGAAUACCAAGGCGAUCGGGUGAACUGUGGUUAAGGAACUCGGCAAAUUGCCCCCGUAACUUCGGGAGAAGGGGGGCCUCCGCUGGUGGUCAGACUUGCUUUGUGAGCUGGUGGGGGUCGCAGAGGCCAGGGGGAAGCGACUGUUUACUAAAAACGCAGGUCCGUGCGAAGUCGUAAGACGAUGUAUACGGACUGACGCCUGCCCGGUGCUGGAACGUUAAGGGGACCGGUUAGCGCACUUCGGUGUGCGAGGCUGAGAACUUAAGCGCCAGUAAACGGCGGUGGUAACUAUAACCAUCCUAAGGUAGCGAAAUUCCUUGUCGGGUAAGUUCCGACCUGCACGAAUGGCGUAACGACUUCCCCGCUGUCACAACCGCAGACCCGGCGAAAUUGCACUACGAGUAAAGAUGCUCGUUACGCGCAGCAGGACGGAAAGACCCCGGGACCUUCACUACAGCUUGACAUUGGCGUUUGGAACGUCUUGUGUAGGAUAGGUGGGAGACUGUGAAGCUGUCACGCUAGUGGCGGUGGAGUCAUUGGUGAAAUACCACUCUGGUCGUUUUGAACGUCUAACUUCGGUCCGUGAUCCGGAUCAGGGACAGUGUCUGGUGGGUAGUUUAACUGGGGCGGUUGCCUCCUAAAGAGUAACGGAGGCGCCCAAAGGUUCCCUCAGCCUGGUUGGUAAUCAGGUGUCGAGUGUAAGUGCACAAGGGAGCUUGACUGUGAGACCGACGGGUCGAGCAGGAGCGAAAGCUGGGACUAGUGAUCCGGCGGUGGCAUGUGGAAGCGCCGUCGCUCAACGGCUAAAAGGUACCCCGGGGAUAACAGGCUGAUCUUCCCCAAGAGUCCAUAUCGACGGGAUGGUUUGGCACCUCGAUGUCGGCUCGUCGCAUCCUGGGGCUGGAGUAGGUCCCAAGGGUUGGGCUGUUCGCCCAUUAAAGCGGUACGCGAGCUGGGUUUAGAACGUCGCGAGACAGUUCGGUCCCUAUCCGCUGCGCGCGCAGGAGACUUGAAAGGAGCUGUCCCUAGUACGAGAGGACCGGGACGGACGAACCUCUGGUGUGCCAGUUGUUCCGCCAGGAGCAUGGCUGGUUGGCUACGUUCGGAAGGGAUAACCGCUGAAAGCAUCUAAGCGGGAAGCUCGCCUUGAGAUGAGGUCUCCCACCACGAAAGUGGGUAAGGCCCCCGGGAGACGACCGGGUUGAUAGGCCGGAGGUGGAAGCAUGGUAACGUGUGGAGCUGACCGGUACUAAUAGGCCGAGGACUUGACCAC
RNAcentral lists this ribosomal RNA (1336 nucleotides) under metagenome. RNAcentral's name for it is "bacterial LSU rRNA". It matches the Rfam family "Bacterial large subunit ribosomal RNA", at positions 1611 to 2925 of the family's 2925-position model. The record is from RNAcentral.